RNAcentral lists this non-coding RNA (24 nucleotides) under Mus musculus (house mouse). The record is from RNAcentral. Lineage: Eukaryota; Metazoa; Chordata; Mammalia; Rodentia; Muridae.
GGUAAAGGAGCCGUACACAUAACC